UUUUUUUAUGUUGUGUAAAAUCUUUUUUUCAUGAAAAUUAUUUCUUCGUCGGAGUGUUUUUUUAAUUGGGUGUAAAAUUUUGUUCAAAAUUGUAAUUACAUUUAUCUGUUACUUGUCCAUUAGAUUACCGUGUUGAACUAAACAGCGAUGAUAUUAUUUCUGGUGAAUGUUUAACUGGUAGGAAAUGGCAGAUGAUGGUCAAGGGGCUGUGACCAAACCAAUAGAGACAGUAACAAGCCCGGGCACUUUUGUGGGAACAAGUGGAACUUCAUAAUUUAAACUGUGGAUUAUUACCAAAACAUUUGAAAUACAUUAUCGAUUUUAAAUUUUAAUCCAAUGACAAUGACAUCGAAGCCUGUAAAUAAAGUCUCUGUGGCCAGUAAAGCAGAUUUGCUUCGUGUUUUAUGUACCCUGGAAGGUGAGCUUCAAGCAAAAGAAAUUGUGAUCAGUAUACUCAAGACGGAACAAGUCCGUAGACUUUUACAUCCUUGCUACAAUAAACGAAGAUGGGUUCAACCUAAUUCAAAAUUGUCAACCAACACCAUAAUCCCAAAUAAUCGAGCUCUCAAAUGCAAACAAGAUUCAUCGCAACAGCAACAGCUACAACAGCAGCAUCAACAACAACAACAAGUUCACAAUUCCGUUCAGUUAAAUAUUGAUCCAUCUGAUCCUUUUGUAGCUCUAUUAAGAGAUACUUACUGUGCAUAUGAUCCUUCAUUUGAUGAAAACUCAACCAAAUUAAUUUAUAAUCUUCAAUAUCAAAAUUUAAGGACCCUUAUAGACCAUCAAAGGAGAGUGAGAAAAUUUUUAGAAUCUCAGAUUGCUGAUUGGGAAUCCAAGUAUAAAGCCUGUUGGCAGGAAUUAGAAAAUGAAAGAUUGAAAAGUGAAAAAUAUGAAAGAGAUAAAAUGAUUAACCGGAUCGAGCAACUCGAAAGGGAAAAUGAUGCUCUCAAGCAAGAUGUGAAAAAUGUUCAAAGUGAAUUAGAUAAGGAAAAAGAACGUGAAAAGUCAAUGGUAAUGUGUUUAAUCACUGAGCGUAAAGAAUUGAUUUGCUGUUUAAUUGAACACGAACAACGUAAUGCUGCUCUAAUCGACAUGUUGACCGCUGAACAAUGUAGAGCCGCUGAAAUGAGUGAGGAUUUGGAAGAGGAAUCUAAAAGAUCACUCCAAAUGGAAUCUGAAUUGGAAAGGUUAUCAGCAAGCUUCGAGAAAUCAAAAUCCAUGUUAAUGGAUAAAAUAAAUACAUUAGAAAAUAAGAGUACCAAAUUGGAAGAGGAAAAUGAUAAAUUAAAAAAGGAAUUGGAAGCAAUCAAAUCAAAAAGGAUAGCCCAAUUAGGAGAAGGUGUACGAGCAACAAUUGUUACUGUCAACUCAACGGACCACAAGGUAGUGCCAAGCGUUGCAUCUUCUCCAGCAGCUCUGAAUCAAUCAAAGGUGAACAUUGCCCGACCAUUGAGUCCUAGUCGGGCAAUUACAUCUGUUUCGACUCCAAUCUCUGGUUCAACCAGUUCUGUCCUGGUAACAGGGUCAACUGUUAGCCCUAAAUCAACUGUUGCUGGUCAAGUUUCAACAGUAUCAUCAACAUCAACUUCAUCUUAUGCAGUUAUACAACCAAUUUUGAAAAGUGGAACGAAUAGUUCACCAGUGGUCGCUAAUCCGAUCACACCCACGCCACCCUCUGGUCCUCCACCUCCAUUACCUAAGACAACCUCAGUACUCUCACUAGCAACCACAACAGCAACAAACUCUACAGCUCAAACAGUUACAGCUUUCCAAAACAUGACUUACAACAUGGAAACAGUCACUCAACCUGUAAUCUCUAAAUCCUCAGCAGUCACUCAACAAUCUCCUAAUGCAACAGCGCAGCCUAACCGCACUGUUACUCCUGGUAAAGUUAUGAUUGCAAGUGGAAGUCCACAAGCACCGGUUCAAAAGAAGCUUUCAACUGGUCCAGUUGCGGGAACUGGAUCUGGUACUAGUCCGGUAUUUCGUGGAGCACCUCCUCCUAUACCGCCAAAUAAACCCAUUCUCCCUGCAAACGCACUGAAAGAACGAAGCAAAGAAAUACAACAAGCCACUGUUCGAGCUAAAAUGAUGACCGCCAAAUCAAUAACUCCCCUUCCCUCCUCCACACCUGUACCUGUUCAAGGUGAGCCCGUCGUAAAUGACAAGCCUUCCUCUUCUGCUCUGACUAACUCGGUGGUGGUUAAUGGUACAAUCAAAAGACAAGAUAAAUCCUUAAUGCUUUCAAACUCUUCCAAUUCAACUGAACAAGUGCCUGGAGAAAAUAAUUUGAAUAAUGUUUCAUUGAAAAAUGCUAGCAAUGGGUGCAACGAUACUACUUCUGACACUUCAGAUGAUUCAGUUAAUCAUCAAAAUGAAGAGUUUACUAAUGUUGAAAUGAUUAGUCAAGAGAUCGCUGAUUUUCAGCAGCUUUUAGGCUCGAUGGUUGAAAAGAGUAUUAUUGGUUGAUUUGCUCAGUUUUAGGGAUAACAGAAAUAGAUUCUAUCAUUAAUUUUGAUCAUUUCUAUAAAUAUUUCUGUGCUAAAUCUUGCACGAUAAAGCUGCUAUGAAAUAGUAAACCUAACUUUAAAUACUCUCAAGCUUUUAAAUAAUCUAUCUUAAUUUUUUUAACUUAAUUUCGAGGUUUGUUAAAGUUAGAACACCUUUAAUCACUCAAAAAAAAACAGCAAUGAAUACAUUAAUUCACACUUACAGCAUUUUGGGAACUUGUCUAAAGUCAUCGAGAAAUGCUGUAUACCUUUUCAAACAAUCUUAUUUGCUUCAAUUUUUGCAUCUUGUUUCGUUAAUUUUAAAAUCAUGAUUUUUUGCCUUCUCUUGAUUAAUUUCAACAUUUUCCUGUAAACAUAAUUUUUUGACCCAAUCUUGAAAUUUUUAUCAUUUGAAACCCUUUUUGUCUCAUUUUGAAUGUAAUUGUACAAACAUUUACAGAUUUAUCAUUAGGAUGUAAAAUUAUAAUUAUAAUUUUUUCCCAUAUUAUUGUUUAAUUUGAUCAUUUAUUUACUUAUCUCAAUCUCGUUUACUUUAAUUGUUAUAAUUUAAUCCUUUCCUUUUCCGCUCCUGGUGAUGGUUUAAUUUGCUUUUCCUCAUUUAUUUCUGGUUUGCUGUUUUUGUUUUAAAACAUAAUCUCUAUUUAAUGUUCUCGGACUCCGCAAGCACCUUAGGAAUAAUUUAUUUACCAAUGAAUCAUCUGUAUCAUCCUCAUCUCCAUCAUCAUCACCAUGCACACCAUUCUUAUCACCUUUAACUGAAUUUAACUGUCUUUAUUUACCAUCUUUAAUUGUUUUACCUGCAAGCUAAAUCACUUCUCCUAUUUGUUAGAUUAGCUUUUGCCUAUUUUUCGGCAUCCAAAGCAAACCAAAUACAAAACCAUCCUACUAAUCAAUUUAAUCAAUUAUUGAUUGAUAAAAUUGGUUUCUAGCUUGUUGAUAAAUCUGUAUUUGACCUGAAUGGUUUCACAUAAAUUAUUUGUAUUUUACCGUUGACCAUUAACCAAAAAGAAAGCGAGAAAACGAAAGAGUAAAGAAUGCAAUGGAACAGGAUUAACCUCAAUAUGGCUGAUUAUUUAGAGUCUACCUAAACAAUUCCGUCAUCAUCGAACCAUAAUCAUCACCUGUUGCCAUUAACAGGAAUAGAACAAGAAACAUUCAAUUGUAUUAGUUGAAAGGUUAAUUAAAAGUCCUGACAAAAAUUG
This is a non-coding RNA of Tetranychus urticae (two-spotted spider mite), 3715 nucleotides long. The record is from RefSeq and is a predicted model, not a curated record. NCBI's taxonomy places the organism in Eukaryota, Metazoa, Arthropoda, Arachnida, Trombidiformes, Tetranychidae.